GGGGGGGGCGGGGGGGGGGGCUGGGGGGGGGGAGUGGGGCGGAGGGGGGGGGGGCUGGCUCCUCGGGCGGGAGCGGGGGGCGGGUGAGUGACACGUGGAUAGCCUGCCGAUAAGACGGGGAUGACGGCGGGAAACCGGAGCUAAUACCGGAUAAUAUAUUGAACCGCAUGGUUCAAUAGUGAAAGACGGUUUUGCUGGCCCGUCUGGAUGGAUCCGCGCCUCAUUAGCUAGUUGGUAAGGUAACGGCUUACCAAGGCACCUAUUCGUAGCCGACCGGAGAGGUUGAUCGGCCACACUGGAACUGAGACACGGUCCAGACUCCUACGGGAGGCAGCAGUAGGGAAUCUUCCGCAAAGGGCGAACGCUUGACGGAGCAACGCCGCGUGAGUGAUGAAGGUCUUCGGAUCGUAAAACUCUGUUAUUAGGGAAGAACAAAUGUGUAAGUAACUAUGCACGUCUUGCCGGUACCUAAUCAGAAAGCCACGGCUAACUACGUG
This 497-nucleotide ribosomal RNA is filed under the name uncultured bacterium. RNAcentral describes it as "partial 16S ribosomal RNA". It matches the Rfam family "Bacterial small subunit ribosomal RNA", at positions 39 to 507 of the family's 1533-position model. The record is from RNAcentral.